GAUGAACGCUGACAGAAUGCUUAACACAUGCAAGUCUUUGGCGAAGCUGUGCUCGCACAGCCUAGCCAAGGCGGACGGGUGAGUAACGCGUAAGGAACUUGCCCUGCAGUCAGGGAUAACAGACGGAAACGACUGAUAAGACCUGGUAAAGUCAGGCGGACUCAUGUCCAGCCUGAUGAAAAGAGAUGCUGCAGGAGAGCCUUGCGUCCUAUUAGCUUGUUGGUGGGGUAACGGCCCACCAAGGCGAUGAUAGGUAGCCGGCCUGAGAGGGUGGACGGCCACAAGGGGACUGAGAUACGGCCCUUACUCCUACGGGAGGCAGCAGUGGGGAAUAUUGGACAAUGGGGGCAACCCUGAUCCAGCAAUUCUGUGUGCACGAUGAAGGUUUUCGGAGUGUAAAGUGCUUUCAGCAGGGAAGAAAAAAAUGACGGUACCUGCAGAAGAAGCGACGGCUAAAUACGUG
Molecule: ribosomal RNA, 463 nt
Filed under: uncultured bacterium
Lineage: Bacteria
Description: partial 16S ribosomal RNA
Rfam family: Bacterial small subunit ribosomal RNA
Source: RNAcentral